This is a long non-coding RNA of Polyodon spathula (Mississippi paddlefish), 972 nucleotides long. RefSeq lists it as uncharacterized. The transcript has 2 exons. Lineage: Eukaryota; Metazoa; Chordata; Actinopteri; Acipenseriformes; Polyodontidae. The record is from RefSeq and is a predicted model, not a curated record.
CUUUGCCGUUCCAUUCCAUUGCCGUUCAGUUAGAGAGCAGCAAAGCGAGGCAGAAUGGGUAGAAAGCUGUGUCAAACCAGUGCAUGGGUUUACUGACUACGUACAGUUAGCCUUGCAGCAAGGAAACACAGCGUGGGGUUGAGAUUUUAUAUAGUCUGUUCUGGAAAACAGAAGUCAGUAUAUCCAUCUUUAUAUAUUUAUUUAAUUAACACCAGAAUGAAGAUAGGAAGUAAGAAGUGAGGGGAGAUUACACAUUACACCUGCUUCCUAGUCUCCAGAAAGAUGCAAAGAAACCCCUGCUGAUUCUGAUAAAAAAAAUCAGAAGUAUAAAUACACUUGGAAAUGUUAAAUGUCAUCAGUUUUAAGGGACCCAAGACCAGAUGCAACCAACACAGUGACUAUGAAACCAGACAUGUGGUUUGCACAAAACAAGCAAGCCCAACAGAAUGAUGAUUUCUCCAGAUUUGUUACAAAUACAGUGGGACAGUUUAAUAUAAGUUAAUUUAUUAAUGCCUGUCUUUGUAUAAAAACGUCAUUGCAUGCAGCUAGGUUCUGUCUGGUCAAACUGUGAGAAAAAAAAUAUAAUAAGUGACACCCUACACAGGACAUAUUAUAAUAAAUCAUAAAAAUGACAUUGUAGCCAGGAUCUGCUAUUACACAGAAAAGGUGUUGUCAUGAAUAUGUUUUUUCAAGAAGUAAUGUAGUUACAUGUAUUUUUUAUUAUUAUUAUUUUGCAGGGAAAAGUCUAAGAUCUGAAAUGCUUUUAUGAGUAUUUGCAAUUUUUAAUUGUUCUCCUUUUAAAACUGAGCUGCAGUCUUCUGUUAUAAGUAAAUGCUAAUAUUAUUCUUAUAUAAGUUAUAUGACAUGUGGCUUGUUAGACCAUCUGCAUUUGUGAUUUCCUGUGAAUGUAUGAAGUAAAGUGUCAUCUCCAAUUAUUUACACAAAUGAUAUGAAUAAAACCGAUGUACAGAA